Long non-coding RNA from Sceloporus undulatus (fence lizard), 2854 nucleotides. RefSeq lists it as uncharacterized. The record is from RefSeq and is a predicted model, not a curated record. NCBI's taxonomy places the organism in Eukaryota, Metazoa, Chordata, Lepidosauria, Squamata, Phrynosomatidae. The transcript has 3 exons.
CACCACUAGGAGACAAAAGGAGAUGAGAACAAGAUGUCAGAACAGUGAAAGGAAAGACCCCCUCCGCUUUCUCCAGAACAAUUCUUUACAGGAGACCCAAGGCUCCCAUGGAAAACGGCAUCCCCAUAUCCAGGUCUAGCCUGCGUCUCAACAUCAUCACACUCAAGAGGUUUUCUUCUAUGCAUGAAUGGCUAGCAAGUGUAGGGAAAUUCAGGUGAUCACACCAUCCAGUAUGUUUUAUAUAUGAAUGAUUUUAUUUCCCAGUCCCUACUGUGGCUAGACUUGAGAGGGCUGCUCCCAGUGCAAAGUGCUUAGCUUUCCUCUAGUCCUGAAGAUUAGGCUUAAUGAGACAGGAGUGGGAAGAACAACUAUACACCAGAUUUCUGUUUUGGUGGCAGCCCUGUGUGUGUUGAGCAGUACACAGAAACACAUCCUGAUUGAUACAUUUACUGCAUUUAUUUUGGCGCGCACACUACCCUAUUCGUUGAGGUUAGGGUACAUGAUCAUAAAUGAACACAGAGGAGAUAGAUAUACAAAGAGAGUACCCAGACACUAAAGAGAAGGCCAAAGACAGCAUGGUGUCAUGAUCUGAGAGUUGGGCCAGGACUCCCAACAGACCAGGGUUCAAAUUCCUGCUCAGCAGUGGAAACCCACUGGGUGACCCUGGGCAUGUCAUAAUCUCUCAUCCUUAGGCGCAAGCGAUGACAAACCUCCAAAUAAACAUUGUCAAGAAAACCCUAGGAAAGGGUCACUUUAAAGUUGGAAAUGACUUGAAGGGACACAACAACAACAAAAAAGGAGGAGGUAUUAUUUUUUGUGAAGUGACUAAACUACCUACAUUCCUUAUUGAAGACAUCAGACAAACAAUCUACUGAUAAAUUCCGAAUAGGCAACCUCAGGCCACUGAAGUGAUUAUAAAGUUCUAAUGAAAUAUACAACUUAUUUAAUGUGUUCUACUCCAGCUUUUUCUGGAAUAUAGAGAAGCACUUCUAGCCUGACUAGCCUUCAGCAGAGCCAGGCCACAGAAGACAUCAACAUCUUACCUUGCUAGGUUUGUCACUCUGGGGAUCAAAGACCUUUUCGCAAAGCCUCAGGCCUGUUUCUUGCCUCAGCUGCUGCAAGUAUGCUCUCAUCACCUCUGAAAACAGAAAGAAUCACAGCCAGCUAAGACCAUAAGAUCAUAUUCAGGUACGUUUUGUUCCCUUCCUCAUAUGAAAACCCCCUACAGCGUAACACAGUAGGUUAUGUGUUGGCUUAAAUCAACAAACACACAGUGUCUGAUGGCACUUCAGGAGAACUGAAACACAAAUGCUUAGAUGCAGAUAAUGUGAAUCAGUGCGGGAGUGCUGAUCUUGAAAGGUUUCCCUGCGCAAACCAAUGGGGCAAGCCAAACGUGUUCCUUUGCACACAUGGUUCUGCUCCUCCCAUCAGACUGAACUGAACAGCCCAUAUCUACAGGAGACAUAUAAAGCACACUUAGACCCACAGUUGAGAUCUCAUGUUGGUAGAAUGGAAAGAGGAUCAGCUACACAGAAAAUGAAGCUGCAGAGAAAUUGCAGGCAAGGCUACCUUGUUCACUCCUAUUUAUACUCUGAGGGCAAGAGCAUAACCAACAUAACACAAGUAUGCAGAUCCUAUGCCUCUAGAAUAGGUCCCAGUGAGGUAAAUAUAUUUAAAAUCGAGCUGUUAGCUGCUUACUCCAUCAGUUCAAAUCUGUGGUCCUCAUUGCUACAUCCCUCUUACCUUCUUCUUGCUUGUUUAUGGGUCUGGCAUAGAGAGCGUUCAGUGGGAAUCCUGGCUCUCCGGGGAUAGGAAAAUUAGUGAUUCCUAAUGUAUACAUUUCUUUUUCUCCUUGGCCUCUGGAAUUACACUGGAGGCAAAAGAAAAUGUAAGCAAGUGUGUCCCAUUGAAGAGAAGAAGAAAACAAACUACAUCAAAAUCCACAGGUGGCCAAGAUCUCUGAUAGGACCCAUUACAGUUUCACAUUGAUGUCCAAGCUUUCACGUUCUCCAGAAAUCUUUGUCAGGGCAAUGAAAGGAGAAAAAGCAGAUGGGAACAUUGGGAAACAGCAGUGGCAGAAUUGGUACAUGUGAAUUUGAGGAAGACCUGGAAUUCAAUCCCUGGAAUUUCCAGGGAGGAGGGUGAGUAACGGCAAGAUACCUUAAAGGAUUCCACCAUAAACUGGGAAUCAACAAGGAAGACACCACAGACUCGGAACUCCCACUGCUGCAGCUGCUCUACAAACUGCUUCAUCACUGGUAAAUGGGUAUAGAGUUCAAUCUGACCUGAGGAGCACAUACACAUUUAAGACAAAGUGAGUAUCAAAAACAUCCACUUUUCUCCCAUGGUGGGAGGUAAAACAGCUUGUGUGUGUGCGGUGUGUGCCUUCAAGUUGUUUCUGAAAUCGUCACGAAGAAGACCCUUUUGUUUCCUCACCAGACAUGCCUCUGGAGGUGCAGAACCAAAAGAAGGUCUCAUCUCCUCCAGAUUUCUAAGUCUGGAAUUGGUGUACUGUAUACUUUCUUUCAUAUAGCUUGGAUCCGAGUCAGAUCCAAGAACUACGGCUUGCCAGAAAGAUAAUAGCCCCAAUGGCCACUGCCUUUGUGGGAACCUUGUCUGGGGAUGAUGAGAGUUGUAGUCCAAUACAUCUGGAGGUCUGUCAGGUUUGGGGAAGAUGAUGCUAAGCUGUGUACAGUCAGCCCUCCGUAUCCACAGAUUUUUUAUGCCUGUAUUCAAGCAUCCACAGUUUGAAAAUAGUUUUAAAAUAUCUAAGUUCUAAAAGCAACCCAUGAUUCUGCCAUUAUAUAUAAGGAACACCAUGUUACUGUGCCACUGUAUAUAAAGGGACUUGAGC